AACGUAGGUGGCAAGCGUUAUCCGGAUUUACUGGGUGUAAAGCGUGUGCAGGCGGUCAGGUAAGUAGCGCGUGAAAGCGCCCGGCUUAACCGGGCGAGGACGUGCUGUACUGCCUGACUGGAGAUGGGUAGAGGCGAGUGGAAUUCCGGGUGUAGUGGUGAAAUGCGUAGAGAUCCGGAGGAACACCUGAGGCGAAGGCGACUCGCUGGGCCCGUUCUGACGCUCAGACACGACAGCAUGGGGAGCGAACGGG
This 253-nucleotide ribosomal RNA is filed under the name uncultured bacterium. Its description in RNAcentral is "partial 16S ribosomal RNA". It matches the Rfam family "Bacterial small subunit ribosomal RNA", at positions 524 to 776 of the family's 1533-position model. The record is from RNAcentral.